This 167-nucleotide ribosomal RNA is filed under the name uncultured bacterium. Its description in RNAcentral is "partial 16S ribosomal RNA". It matches the Rfam family "Bacterial small subunit ribosomal RNA", at positions 340 to 524 of the family's 1533-position model. The record is from RNAcentral.
UACGGGAGGCAGCAGUGGGGAAUAUUGGACAAUGGAGGCAACUCUGAUCCAGCAAUGCCGCGUGUGUGAUGAAGGCCUUAGGGUUGUAAAGCACUUUCAAUGGCGAAGAUGAUGACGGUAGCCGUAGAAGAAGCCCCGGCUAACUUCGUGCCAGCAGCCGCGGUAAU